RNAcentral lists this ribosomal RNA (372 nucleotides) under uncultured bacterium. RNAcentral describes it as "bacterial SSU rRNA". It matches the Rfam family "Bacterial small subunit ribosomal RNA", at positions 524 to 898 of the family's 1533-position model. The record is from RNAcentral.
UACGGAGGAUGCAAGCGUUAUCCGGAUUCAUUGGGUUUAAAGGGUGCGCAGGCGGGUUAUUAAGUCAGAGGUGAAAUCCCACAGCUCAACUGUGGAACUGCCUUUGAUACUGAUAGUCUAGAGUAUAGUUGAAGUUGGCGGAAUGUGUCAUGUAGCGGUGAAAUGCUUAGAUAUGACACAGAACACCGAUCGCGAAGGCAGCUAGCUAAGCUAUAACUGACGCUCAUGCACGAAAGCGUGGGGAUCAAACAGGAUUAGAUACCCUGGUAGUCCACGCUGUAAACGAUGAUUACUCGAUGUUGGCGAUACACAGUCAGCGUCUAAGGGAAACCAUUAAGCCAUCCACCUGGGGAGUACGGCUGCAAGGCUGAA